ACCAUCUUCUGUUACAUUCUCAGUGUUGUCUUGGUAAUAAAAUACUAUCAAUGGCAGUGGCGCGGGAAGUUAGCCUGGGUAUACCCAUGCUGCCUUGCGCGCGAUUUCAUUUCGUGCUGCUAGACAUGUGCUAGCCCUCACUGUAGAUUGAGGCCUGGCGUUAGCCACAUGCGUUAGCCCCUGGCGUUAGCCACAUGCGUUAGCUAGGCUAGCGGGGAGUAGGGGUGCGGCAUGUGCUGCAGCAUCCCCUGGUGGCGAAGCUUUAAAACUGCGAUGACGAUAAAACGAUCGCUUAUAAUUUAUUUAUCUCUGGUUGUGGUUUCUGUUUUUAUUUUGUAUGUUAUGUUUGGGGUGUGGGACGAAGAGAGCGCUAAUUUUUCAAUUAUUUCAUUUAUCCUCAAUGUAUACCAAUCAGAUUUGUCUUCACGCGAUUGCGAUUCAGCCUACACAUAUCAUGCACGGCACGCACACUCAGCCAGACAUCCUCAAAUGACAAGUUAUUGAGUGGUGUGUGUAGACUACAGAGCCGGUGUAACAUAGUAGCCUAUCUUAAGAAUUCUAUGAACUCUACGUGGACCGUAACGCACCCCGCAGCCCCUGCCGAAAAUAUCGUCCUGUUAGUCUGAUCAAUGGAAGUAUUGGAUCUUGACUUGACUGUGGCCUGAAGUGGAAGGGAUCAGUUUUAACUGUCACUAAUCCUAUAAAUUACUUUCAUCCUCUCCGGCUGCCAAUUUGAUGCGCAGGCUGGCCCCAGAUCAAAAAAGUGGGGAGAUCGUGGAAACACAUGAACGCUACACUGCUACCACUGUCAUGACAUCUCGUGGCUCCGUGGAGGUGGUGAUCUUUGCUGUACGUCAGCGGGGUUGACGCUGCGACCGAGGCCCAGAGGUUGGAGCUAGAGGCCUUGACCCGUGGCUGAGGCCGGUCGGCCGCAAUGAGGGUACAUGUGGUGUUGCUCGUGCUGCUGUGCAGCUUGCAGGGCCUGUUCUUUCAGAGAUCCACAGCAGACGAGGAAGUCAGUGGUGAGGCGGAAUGGCUGCCCCAGCCCAAGCCCUGGGAGGACACGUACUGGUCUGGGACCGCCCCCCUGUGCCUCGGAGGCUGCAGGGGGCGCCACCAAGAGCUGAAGAGCGACCGCUGUGGGGACUCCAGCUGCUGCUGGGUGGGGUCCAAGUCCCUCUGCAGAGUGAACUGCGGCAGACCGGACGUGGACUACAACGGCGUGGUGACCGGUGACGACUGGUGGGUGGGCUCGCUGGUGAGGUACGAGUGCCGUGCCGGCUUCCUGCUGCUCGGAGACCCCACCAGAGUGUGCCAGUCCGACGGCCGUUGGACCCCAAAACCCUUCUGCGUGCGGAUGUGUCAGCGGGGACGCGUGGAGGUCAACGAGAGGGAGCUGAGCGGAAACUGCUCCACCACCUGCGCCAACAAGAGCUACUUUGGAAACCCCAAGCUAGGCUGUAGCCAUCUUGACAACUGUCAGAACAAGGAUACCGGCUGGAAGCGCUUCUUCUCCCAGUGUGUCCCCUGCGUCUGCGACUGCUCCAUAUCCUGUACAAACGCAGUCAAACUGGAGAGGAAGAGAAACUGA
Gadus morhua (Atlantic cod) is the source of this 1591-nucleotide long non-coding RNA. The record is from Ensembl. Lineage: Eukaryota; Metazoa; Chordata; Actinopteri; Gadiformes; Gadidae.